This 435-nucleotide ribosomal RNA is filed under the name uncultured bacterium. Its description in RNAcentral is "partial 16S ribosomal RNA". It matches the Rfam family "Bacterial small subunit ribosomal RNA", at positions 28 to 507 of the family's 1533-position model. The record is from RNAcentral.
GAUGAACGCUGGCGGUAUGCUUAACACAUGCAAGUCGAACGGACUCUUCGGAGUUAGUGGCGGACGGGUGAGUAACGCGUGAGAAUCUGGCUUUGGGUUCGGGACAACCACUGGAAACGGUGGCUAAUACCGGAUGUGCCGAGAGGUAAAAGAGAAAUUGCCUGAAGAUGAGCUCGCGUCUGAUUAGCUAGUUGGUGAGGUAAAGGCUUACCAAGGCAGCGAUCAGUAGCUGGUCUGAGAGGAUGACCAACCACACUGGGACUGAGACACGGCCCAGACUCCUACGGGAGGCAGCAGUGGGGAAUUUUCCGCAAUGGGCGAAAGCCUGACGGAGCAGUACCGCGUGAGGGAAGAAGGCUCUUGGGUUGUAAACCUCUUUUCUUAGGUAAGAACAAAAUGACGGUACCUAAGGAAUCAGCAUCGGCUAACUCCGUG